UGGGUAGGGGAGCUUCCCAUACGGGUUGAAGCAUGACCGUAAGGACAUGUGGACAGUAUGGGAGUGAGAAUGUUGGCAUGAGUAGCGAGAUGUGGGUGAGAAUCCCACAGGCCGUAAACCCAAGGUUUCCAGGGGAAGGUUCGUCCGCCCUGGGUUAGUCGGGACCUAAGCUGAGGCCGAAAGGCGUAGGUGAUGGACAACAGGUUGAUAUUCCUGUACUACCGAUAACCGUUUGAGAGAAGGGAUGACACAGUAGGAUAAGCUAAGCAC
RNAcentral lists this ribosomal RNA (270 nucleotides) under Clostridioides difficile. RNAcentral's name for it is "partial 23S ribosomal RNA". It matches the Rfam family "Bacterial large subunit ribosomal RNA", at positions 1225 to 1494 of the family's 2925-position model. Lineage: Bacteria; Bacillati; Bacillota; Clostridia; Peptostreptococcales; Peptostreptococcaceae. The record is from RNAcentral.